GCUAGUCGCACGAGUUUAGACUCGUGGCGCAUAGCUCCAUAACACGUGGCCAAACAACCCUUCGGAGGAGCACAACCUCGGGAAACUGAGGCUAAUUCUCCAUACGACACUCAGCCUGGAAUGGAGAGUGUCCGAAACGCUCCGGCGCCGAAGGGUGUGGCUGCGGCCGAUUAGGUAGACGGUGGGGUAACGGCCCACCGUGCCGAUAAUCGGUACGGGUUGUGAGAGCAAGAGCCCGGAGACGGAAUCAGAGAUAAGAUUCCGGGCCCUACGGGGCGCAGCAGGCGCGAAACCUUUACACUGCACGCCAGUGCGAUAAGGGGAUCCCGAGUGCGCAGGCAUAGAGCCUGCGCUUUUCUGAACUGUAGGGAGGUUCAGGAACAAGAGCUGGGCAAGACCGGUGCCAGCCGCCGCGGUAAUACCGGCAGCUCGAGUGAUGGCCGAUCUUAUUGGGCCUAAAGCGUCCGUAGCUGGCCUUGCAAGUCCGUCGGGAAAUCCACCCGCUCAACGGGUGGGCGUCCGGCGGAAACUGUGAGGCUUGGGACCGGGAGGCUUGAAGGGUACGUCCGGGGUAGGAGUGAAAUCCCGUAAUCCUGGACGGACCGCCGAUGGGGAAACCACUUCAAGGGAACGGAUCCGACAGUGAGGGACGAAAGCUAGGGUCUCGAACCGGAUUAGAUACCCGGGUAGUCCUAGCUGUAAACGAUGCCUGUUAGGUGUGACUCCCACUACGAGUGGGUGUUGUGCCGUAGGGAAGCCGCUAAACAGGCCG
This 772-nucleotide ribosomal RNA is filed under the name uncultured archaeon. RNAcentral describes it as "bacterial SSU rRNA". It matches the Rfam family "Archaeal small subunit ribosomal RNA", at positions 53 to 826 of the family's 1478-position model. The record is from RNAcentral.